RNAcentral lists this ribosomal RNA (482 nucleotides) under uncultured eukaryote. Its description in RNAcentral is "bacterial SSU rRNA". It matches the Rfam family "Eukaryotic small subunit ribosomal RNA", at positions 592 to 1018 of the family's 1831-position model. The record is from RNAcentral.
CAAUAGCGUAUAUUAAUGUUGCUGCAGUUAAAAGCUCGUAGUUGGAUCCCUGGUGCGGGCGUGCGGUUGAGUCUGACGAUUGGCGUCGCUCAAACUGUCCACGUCACGACCACGAUAUGUCGGUCCCCGUCGGUUGCACUUUACUGGGUGACUGUCGGUGGUACCUAGCGAUUUACUUUGAAAAAUUAGAGUGUUCAAAGCAGGGCCAGUGUGCCUGCAUACCGUUGCAUGGAAUAAUGGAAAAUGCUUUCGGUCCGAGUUGCUUGGUGCACAACUCGCGUCUGUGAUUUGUCUGUCUGAAGUUUGGUUUGUCGUCGGACUCGAAAGAAUGAUCGAGAGGGACGGACGGGGACAUCGGUAUUGCGGCGUUAGAGGUGAAAUUCUUGGAUCGUCGCAAGACCAACUAAAGCGAAAGCAUUUGUCAAGAAUGUUUUCCUUGAUCAAGAACGAAAGUCAGAGGUUCGAAGACGAUUAGAUACCGU